RNAcentral lists this ribosomal RNA (498 nucleotides) under uncultured bacterium. RNAcentral's name for it is "partial 16S ribosomal RNA". It matches the Rfam family "Bacterial small subunit ribosomal RNA", at positions 28 to 507 of the family's 1533-position model. The record is from RNAcentral.
GAUGAACGCUGGCGGCGUGCCUAAUACAUGCAAGUUGAGCGCACGGGCGUGGUGCUUGUUCCUAUGGGAUUAGCGGCGGACGGGUGAGUAACACGUGGGUAAUCUGCCUUUGAGCCUGGGACAACUUUUGGAAACCAGUGCUAAUACCGCAUAAAAUCUUUAAACACAUGUUUCAUGUUUGAAAGACGCAAUUGCAUCACCUAAUGAUUGGAUCCGCGUUUUAUUAGCUAGUUGGUGAGGUAAAGCCUCACCAAGGCGAUGAUACAUACCCGACCUGAGAGGGUGAUCGGCCACAUUGGGACUGAGACACGGCCCCAACUCCUACGGGAGGCAGCAGUAGGGAAACUUCGGCAAUGGACGAAAGUCUGACCGAGCAACGCCGCGUGAGUGAAGAAGGUUUUCGGAUCGUAAAACUCUGUUGGUAGAGAAGAACGUUGGUGAGAGUGGAAAGCUCAUCAAGUGACGGUAACUACCCAGAAAGGGACGGCUAACUACGUG